Molecule: transfer RNA, 93 nt
Filed under: Actinophytocola sp.
Lineage: Bacteria; Bacillati; Actinomycetota; Actinomycetes; Pseudonocardiales; Pseudonocardiaceae
Description: tRNA-OTHER
Source: RNAcentral
GGGGCCGCAAGCGCAGUGAUGGAGAGAGCACCGACCAGGGCGAGUCUGAUCGCCGCGCGUCGGCGAGCGGGGGUUCGAGUCCUCCCGGCCCCA